RNAcentral lists this ribosomal RNA (440 nucleotides) under Medicopsis romeroi. RNAcentral describes it as "partial large subunit ribosomal RNA". It matches the Rfam family "Eukaryotic large subunit ribosomal RNA", at positions 36 to 470 of the family's 3401-position model. Lineage: Eukaryota; Fungi; Ascomycota; Dothideomycetes; Pleosporales; Neohendersoniaceae. The record is from RNAcentral.
AAGCAUAUCAAUAAGCGGGAGGAAAAGAAACCAACAGGGAUUGCCCUAGUAACGGCGAGUGAAGCGGCAACAGCUCAAAUUUGAAAUCUGGCUCUAUUUUGGAGUCCGAGUUGUAAUUUGUAGAGGGCGCUUUGGCGUCGGCAGCGGUCUAAGUUCCUUGGAACAGGACGUCACAGAGGGUGAGAAUCCCGUACGUGGUCGCGUGCCUUCGCCGUGUAAAGCCCCUUCGACGAGUCGAGUUGUUUGGGAAUGCAGCUCUAAAUGGGAGGUAAAUUUCUUCUAAAGCUAAAUACUGGCCAGAGACCGAUAGCGCACAAGUAGAGUGAUCGAAAGAUGAAAAGCACUUUGGAAAGAGAGUCAAAAAGCACGUGAAAUUGUUGAAAGGGAAGCGCUUGCAGCCAGACUUGCCUGCGGUUGCUCAUCCGGGCUCUUGCCCGGUG